GCAAGUCGAGGGGUAACAUUGUGCUUGCACAGAUGACGACCGGCGCACGGGUUCGUAACGCGUAUAGAACCUACCUUUUACAGAGGGAUAGCCUUUAGAAAUGAAGAUUAAUACCUUAUAGUAUUUUAGAUUAGCAUUAAUUUAGAAUUAAAGAUUUAUCGGUAAAAGAUGGCUAUGCGUUCUAUUAGCUAGAUGGAGUGGUAACGGCACCCAAUGGCUACGAGAGAGAGGGGCCAGGAGAGGGGGAGC
Molecule: ribosomal RNA, 249 nt
Filed under: uncultured bacterium
Lineage: Bacteria
Description: partial 16S ribosomal RNA
Rfam family: Bacterial small subunit ribosomal RNA
Source: RNAcentral